AUCCCAGUGUCAUGAAACCUGUGACUUACAGACAGUCUCUUCCCUCUGCUGUGCAUCUGUGGCCCCACUUGCAAAGAGGCAGGAUGGAAUCCACAUGGCUUUUUGGAAUAGCUUCAGUAUGCCCCUUCACCGGCCACUUCGUACAUGUGGGGGGUGGACUCCCCAGACUGGAGGACCGAUCUCUCCAUGUGAUGUGAUUUCUUUACUAACAACUUCAGAUAUACAUCAAUUCCUCACUCUGUGAGCAGUGGGCAAGACACACACGUCUGCAAUGAAGAGACCAAAGCCAAAUGGGGCCAUGCCACGGAACAAAAGAAUUUUUUGACUCACCAGGAAGGAGACAGCAGGACAUGAACGCUUUCAUAGUGGAACCAAAAUGACCAAAGUGGAAUGUUUAUGUUCUGGGCUCAGUGCUCAGUAGCAUAACCACGUCCCACUGCUGUCGGGGCAACAUCAGAGCCAGCGUUGGUCACCAUGAAGGUAGAAUGGGACCAGUGUUGAAACUCUGCCCAGGCUGAGUGUGUGGGAUUCCUGGAAAUCAUGCCUGGCAGAGUCUUGGACUCCUGAAACCAGGUUUGCAAAAUAGGGAGUUUCAAGAAAGAGAGCGUGAGCGAGGGAGAGAAAGGCAGAGGGACGGAGGGACAUGACAAGAUUCUAACUAAUUUGCCAGAUUUGGCCUGCUGCCUCCUCUUUUCUUCUGGAAAAUAUCCACUUGGGCUCAUUAGAAUGGAAUUUCAGGGCAGCUAGAGCUGAGAAUCCAAGGGGUCUGCAUGGGAGCUCGUGGUCUCCUGCAGUGGAGGAAGUGGGACAUUUGUCUCUGUUGCUGUUCCUGCUGGGUCCUGAGUGUGACUGGGGCAAAGCCUGGUUCCUCUCUCUACUUGUAAUUUAUGUUUCAUAUUUUAUUUGUUGGACACAUCUUUUAGGAUAAAUAAAA
Molecule: long non-coding RNA, 934 nt
Organism: Ailuropoda melanoleuca (giant panda)
Lineage: Eukaryota; Metazoa; Chordata; Mammalia; Carnivora; Ursidae
Exons: 3
Source: RefSeq, a predicted model, not a curated record